CCUACGGGGGGCAGCAGUGGGGAAUAUUGGGCAAUGGGCGCAAGCCUGACCCAGCAACGCCGCGUGAAGGAAGAAGUAUUUCGGUAUGUAAAGCUCUAUCAGCAGGGAAGAAAAUGACGGUACCUGACUAAGAAGCCCCGGCUAACUACGUGCCAGCAGCCGCGGUAAUACGUAGGGGGCAAGCGUUAUCCGGAUUUACUGGGUGUAAAGGGAGCGCAGACGGCUGUGAAAGUCUGGGGUGAAAGGCGGGGGCCCAACCCCCGGACUGCUCUGGAAACUGUAAAGCUGGAGUGCAGGAGAGGUAAGCGGAAUUCCUAGUGUAGCGGUGAAAUGCGUAGAUAUUAGGAGGAACACCAGUGGCGAAGGCGGCUUACUGGACUGCAACUGACGUUGAGGCUCGAAAGCGUGGGGAGCAAACAGGAUUGGAUACCCUGGUAGUC
RNAcentral lists this ribosomal RNA (440 nucleotides) under uncultured bacterium. Its description in RNAcentral is "partial 16S ribosomal RNA". It matches the Rfam family "Bacterial small subunit ribosomal RNA", at positions 338 to 795 of the family's 1533-position model. The record is from RNAcentral.